This 472-nucleotide ribosomal RNA is filed under the name uncultured bacterium. RNAcentral's name for it is "partial 16S ribosomal RNA". It matches the Rfam family "Bacterial small subunit ribosomal RNA", at positions 30 to 507 of the family's 1533-position model. The record is from RNAcentral.
AUUGAACGCUGGCGGCAGGCCUAACACAUGCAAGUCGAGCGGGGACUUCGGUCCUAGCGGCGAACGGGUGAGUAAUGUUUGGGAAUCUGCCCAGUAGUGGGGGAUAACGUCCCGAAAGGGACGCUAAUACCGCAUACGUCCUACGGGAGAAAGAGGGGGAUCUUCGGACCUCUCGCUAUUGGAUGAGCCCAAGUCGGAUUAGCUAGUUGGUAGGGUAAUGGCCUACCAAGGCGACGAUCCGUAGCUGGUCUGAGAGGAUGAUCAGCCACACUGGAACUGAGACACGGUCCAGACUCCUACGGGAGGCAGCAGUGGGGAAUAUUGGACAAUGGGCGAAAGCCUGAUCCAGCCAUGCCGCGUGUGUGAAGAAGGCCUUCGGGUUGUAAAGCACUUUAAGCGGGGAGGAAGGUUCGCGGCCUAAUACGUCGCGGAAUUGACGUUACCCGCAGAAUAAGCACCGGCUAACUCUGUG